CUAGCCGUAAACGAUGGAUACUAGGUGUUAGAGGUAUCGACCCCUCUAGUGCCGUAGCUAACGCAUUAAGUAUCCCGCCUGGGGAGUACGACCGCAAGGUUGAAACUCAAAGGAAUUGACGGGGGCCCGCACAAGCGGUGGAGCAUGUGGUUUAAUACGUCACUAACCGUAGAACCUCACCCAGGCUUGACAUCCACUGUAAGUCUAUGAAAGUGGUACCCCUGUAUGGAAACAUGCAGCAGUGAGACAGGUGU
This 254-nucleotide ribosomal RNA is filed under the name uncultured Armatimonadota bacterium. RNAcentral's name for it is "uncultured Armatimonadetes bacterium partial 16S ribosomal RNA". It matches the Rfam family "Bacterial small subunit ribosomal RNA", at positions 796 to 1041 of the family's 1533-position model. The record is from RNAcentral. Lineage: Bacteria; Bacillati; Armatimonadota.